This 237-nucleotide unclassified non-coding RNA is filed under the name Hevea brasiliensis (rubber tree). Lineage: Eukaryota; Viridiplantae; Streptophyta; Magnoliopsida; Malpighiales; Euphorbiaceae. The record is from RNAcentral.
AACAAGUCCAAGUGGUUACUGAAUAUGGCAAGAAAGUAUUGUCAUCACCGGAGAAGCUGUAUCCAAGGGAUGAAGAGGCAGACCAUGGAGGGGUUGAUGAUAUGACCAAAUUGACUUAUUUGAAUGAGCCUGGAGUUUUAGACAACCUUCAGAGAAGAUAUGGUCUUAAUGAAAUUUAUACAUAUACAGGAAGUAUCUUAAUAGCUGUCAAUCCAUUCACUAAACUUCCACAUCUGU